This 458-nucleotide ribosomal RNA is filed under the name uncultured bacterium. Its description in RNAcentral is "partial 16S ribosomal RNA". It matches the Rfam family "Bacterial small subunit ribosomal RNA", at positions 338 to 795 of the family's 1533-position model. The record is from RNAcentral.
CCUACGGGUGGCAGCAGUGAGGAAUAUUGGUCAAUGAGCGAGAGCCUGAACCAGCCAAGUCGCGUGAGGGAGUCCUGCCCUAUGGGUUGUAAACCUCUUUUGUCGGGGAGCAAAAGCCGGACGUGUCCGGCUGUGAGAUUACCCGAAGAAAAGGCAUCGGCUAACUCCGUGCCAGCAGCCGCGGUAAUACGGAGGAUGCGGGCGUUAUCCGGAUUUAUUGGGUUUAAAGGGUUCGCAGGCGGAUUUUUAAGUCAGCGGUAAAAUCGUGGGGCUCAACCCCAUCCAGCCGUUGAAACUGGGGAUCUAGAGUGUGCGAGAGGUAUGCGGAAUGCGUGGUGUAGCGGUGAAAUGCAUAGAUAGCACGCAGAACCCCGAUUGCGAAGGCAGCAUACCGGUGCACAACUGACGCUCAGGCACGAAAGCGUGGGUAUCGAACAGGAUUAGAUACCCUUGUAGUC